RNAcentral lists this long non-coding RNA (317 nucleotides) under Homo sapiens (human). RNAcentral describes it as "HSALNT0340433". The record is from RNAcentral. Lineage: Eukaryota; Metazoa; Chordata; Mammalia; Primates; Hominidae.
AUAUGUCCUGUGAGCUUAGGGGUGCUACAAGUUGACCACUGCAGCAGUAAAGAUGAUUCUGAAGAAUGGCAUGGGAUGGAUCCUUUCGAAUGCACUUGAGCAGCGGUCUCCAACCACAGGGCCACAGAGCUGGAGCUGGAUCUACCAUGAAAGACUUCUGAAUCCAGGAAGAGAGACUGACUGGGCAACAUGUUAUUCAGGAGAUGGGGUCUCACCCUGUCGCCCAGGCUUGAGUACAGUAGUGCUAUCACAGCUCACUGCAGCCUUGAACUCCUGGGCUAAGGAUCCUCCUACCUGAGCCUCCUGAGUAGCUGGGA